Molecule: long non-coding RNA, 644 nt
Filed under: Ananas comosus (pineapple)
Lineage: Eukaryota; Viridiplantae; Streptophyta; Magnoliopsida; Poales; Bromeliaceae
Description: long non-coding RNA (ACOM_LNC015396)
Source: RNAcentral
CCCUUUUCUAUGGAAACUCAAGAUUCCCCUAAGGGCGUGUUUGGUUCGCACUAUGAAAGAUUACUAAGAAUAAAAAGAUGUCCGAGAAUGUUAUUUCUAUCCAUCCUAUUACUAAGAAUGUAGCAUUCAUGUGUUUGGUUUGUACGGUCAUAUUAUUUAGUCAUGUUAUUUAAGAUUAAAGAAAUAGGAAGAGAAAUAGAGUCGAAGUUAUAAGGAGUGAGAGAGUUGAGAUUUUAGAAAAACAGGGGGAGAGAGAGCUUAGUUUAGAGGGAGAAAAAAAAAGUUGAAGUUUAGAGAGAAAAAGAUAAGUUUAGAGAGAGAUAUGAGGUUAGAGUGUAAAGAAAAAUAAUACCAACUAGCCGGUGUGUAGGAAGAAAAAAAGAGAUGAGACAUAUUAUGAUUAUCGCAAUUAAUUAAUGUGAGGAUACCCACCCUCCCUCAAGGGAAUUAGAUUAGUACUUUGGGAUGAAUCUCAUUCCCAAGUAAAAUCUAAUAUUAUCAACUAGAUUACUUAGUGCGUUUAGCUAAACACCGUCAUAUUUUUUUUAUUCCUAUUGAAUUAGUAGGAAUCUUAAAAAGAUAGCGCGAACCAAAUACACCCUAAGAGUCAAAGUAUUUAUGUGGCUUGCUGGGAGGAACAGAAU